Molecule: ribosomal RNA, 379 nt
Filed under: Curvularia sp.
Lineage: Eukaryota; Fungi; Ascomycota; Dothideomycetes; Pleosporales; Pleosporaceae
Description: partial large subunit ribosomal RNA
Rfam family: Eukaryotic large subunit ribosomal RNA
Source: RNAcentral
UUGGCUUUGGCAGCGGUCCAAGUUCCUUGGAACAGGACGUCACAGAGGGUGAGAAUCCCGUACGUGGUCGCUAGCUAUUGCCGUGUAAAGCCCCUUCGACGAGUCGAGUUGUUUGGGAAUGCAGCUCUAAAUGGGAGGUAAAUUUCUUCUAAAGCUAAAUAUUGGCCAGAGACCGAUAGCGCACAAGUAGAGUGAUCGAAAGAUGAAAAGCACUUUGGAAAGAGAGUCAAACAGCACGUGAAAUUGUUGAAAGGGAAGCGCUUGCAGCCAGACUUGCUUGCAGUUGCUCAUCCGGGCUUUUGCCCGGUGCACUCUUCUGCAGGCAGGCCAGCAUCAGUUUGGGCGGUGGGAUAAAGGUCUCUGACACGUUCCUUCCUUC